Molecule: long non-coding RNA, 1032 nt
Filed under: Ficedula albicollis (Collared flycatcher)
Lineage: Eukaryota; Metazoa; Chordata; Aves; Passeriformes; Muscicapidae
Description: lncRNA (ENSFALG00000024031.1)
Source: RNAcentral
CCCCCCCCCCCCCCCCCCCCCCCCCCCCCCCCCCCCCCCCCAGCGGUGACACCGCUGAGGCGGGCACCGGGUGGGCGCUCCCCGGGCUCAGGGACGAGGGGGCGGCACCCCGCGGGCACCGGGUGGGGCCGGGGGUCCCCGAAGGUGCGCUCCAGCCCUUACCUUCUGCCGGGAGCGCGGCAGCGGGACGCGUCCUCCUCCUCCGGCUGCUCCUGGGUCUGUGGACGGCGCGGCCGCGGGGAAUCGGGCAGGGCAGCGAGUGCCGCCCGCAGUGCCCAGGGGCUGUGGCUCAGCCGCGGCUCCAAGCGCUGGGGCUGUCGGGGAUUGCAAACACCCCGCCCGCCCUUCUUUCUUUCCUUCCUUCCUUCACUGCCUCCUUCCUUCUCUCCCUCCCUCCUUCGCUCUCUCCCUCCCUCCUUCCCUCACACCCCGCGCCGCCGCUCGGCUCCCCCCGCCCCCCUCCCAGCGGCGCUCCCAUUGGCCGCGCGCCGCCCACGUGGGCCUCGCGCACGGCUCGGGACGCGGGCGAGCGGUGCCGCUGCCAACGACAGAGCGCUCGGGGCGGGGUGGGCACCGCACCGCUUCUCUCCAUUCCCAGCGCCGUCCCCAUCCCGAAGGAGACGGGCGCGGACGCCCGCAGGGCGACGGGAAAUAACAGGCUCGCGGGAUGCCGCGGACGGACGGGGCUGGGACGGGGAACAGGCGCGAGCAGUGCGCAUGCGCGAGGGGGGGUUGCUGGGGCAGCCGCGCAUCCUCUUGGGCUGCGGCCGCUGGAACCUUCUGGAAAUGGCGGCGGCGGCCCCCCCCCCCCCCCCCCCCCCCCCCCCCCCCCCCCCCCCCCCCCCCCCCCCCCCGGUCACGGGGCGAGGUGGCGGACGAGAGCUUUUCCGGUCCCGGCCGCGGGACGGGAGCCGACCUACAGGCACCAGAGCGCCCCGCUUUGCCUCGCCCCGUCCUGCUGCUGCCGCCCCCUCCCCGGGGAGGGGUUUUUCCGGCGGUGGUGGCGCAGUGAGUUUUAACUAUCCGGCGUAG